This 242-nucleotide ribosomal RNA is filed under the name uncultured bacterium. RNAcentral's name for it is "partial 16S ribosomal RNA". It matches the Rfam family "Bacterial small subunit ribosomal RNA", at positions 91 to 334 of the family's 1533-position model. The record is from RNAcentral.
CGGACCGGCGCACGGGUGCGUAACGCGUAUGCAACCUACCUUUAACAGGGGGAUAACACUGAGAAAUUGGUACUAAUACACCAUAAUAUCAUAGAAGGCAUCUUUUAUGGUUGAAAAUUCCGAUGGUUAGAGAUGGGCAUGCGUUGUAUUAGCUAGUUGGUGGGGUAACGGCUCACCAAGGCGACGAUACAUAGGGGGACUGAGAGGUUAACCCCCCACACUGGUACUGAGACACGGACCAG